GACGAACGCUGGCGGCGUGCUUAACACAUGCAAGUCGAACGGAAAGGCCCCUUUGGGGGUACUCGAGUGGCGAACGGGUGAGUAACACGUGAGUAACCUGCCCUUGACUUCGGGAUAACUUCAGGAAACUGGGGCUAAUACCGGAUAGGAAUCCUUGCUGCAUGGUGGGGGUUGGAAAGCUUCGGCGGUUUUGGAUGGACUCGCGGCUUAUCAGCUUGUUGGUGGGGUAGUGGCUUACCAAGGCUUUGACGGGUAGCCGGCCUGAGAGGGCGACCGGCCAAAUUGGGACUGGGAUACGGCCCAACCCCCUGCGGGGGGCAGCAGGGGGGAAUAUUGCACAAGGGGGGGAAGCCUGAUGCAGCAACGCCGGGGGCGGGAUGAGGGCCUUCGGGUUGUAAACCGCUUUCAGCAGGGGCGAAGCUUGUGGUGACGGUACCUGAAGAAGAAGCACCGGCUAACUACGU
This 464-nucleotide ribosomal RNA is filed under the name uncultured bacterium. Its description in RNAcentral is "partial 16S ribosomal RNA". It matches the Rfam family "Bacterial small subunit ribosomal RNA", at positions 28 to 506 of the family's 1533-position model. The record is from RNAcentral.